Non-coding RNA from Triticum aestivum (bread wheat), 86 nucleotides. Lineage: Eukaryota; Viridiplantae; Streptophyta; Magnoliopsida; Poales; Poaceae. The record is from Rfam.
GGUGGUGCAGUGAUUAUGAAACAUUCCUCGUACUUACCGGAGAUCCCCAUGAAUGACUCCUAUACACCCAUAGAAUCUGAUCACCA